CCGGGGGCAGGGAAGUGGGUAGGACAAGAAGAGGAGGAAGCCAAGCCAGGGAAUGAUCUCAAGCAAAAUUGAAGCAGAAGGUGUCUUCAGACUGACCCCCCAGGGGAACUCAAGAGGGUGUCAGAUGUGUACCGUGUUCUGAAGACUCUCCCCACCUUCUCCAGCACCCUCCCCCUUUGUCCUUCACAGGCAUUUCCUCCAAUCAGUCUUUCGUCUUCUGCUUCAUGGAAGACCUGACGGACACAGACAACUCAUCUUUACAUCCUCCAUGCCUGGGACAUUGGCAGGGAUUCUGCAGCAGUGAUGAAGAGCAUGGACACAAAUCAUAACCCGGGACUUGUUCCAUGGGUAGCCUUGAGAGCAGGUGACUUCAACCUCUCUGAAACCGAGUUUGAGGUCCUCAUCUAUUAAGUGGUAUUGAUAUUAAUAGCUAUGUCUUACGGCUGUUUGAGAAUGAAUAAGUUAAUGCAUGAAUACGUUUAGCACAGUGCUUAAAAAUCACAAUAAAUAUCUAAUACAAUAUAACUAGCUGCAUUGGAUGCACUAAGUAUUCUACACAUGUGUUAGUGCUGCAAACUGCCUGGUGCUGGUAGCUGCAAUGGUCACAGGACUGUCAGGCUGUGUCCCCCACCACAACCCCUGACACACACACACUCAAUUCUCUCAAACAUAGGCUGCUGAAGGUGACUUCAGCACCAUAAACUUAGCUGGGCCAUUUCUGGGAGACUGUCUAGGUCUCUGUGAAUUCUGCCUCCUUUUUGAUAUUGCUGAUAUAGUUUGGAUGUGUGUCCCCUCUAAAUCUCAUGUUGAAUUAUCAUCUGCAGUGUUGGAGGUAGGGCUAGUGGGAGGUGAUUUCUCACAAAUGGUUUAGCACCAUCUCCUUGAUGCCAUCCUCAGGAUAGUGAGUGAGUUCUUGUGAGAUCUGGUUGUUUAAAAGUCUGUAGGAUCUUCCCCCUCACUCUCUCUCUCUUGCAUCCCCUCUCGCCAUGUGAUAUGCUGGCUUCCCCUUUGCCUUCCACCAUGGAUAGGAAGCUUCCUGAGGCC
Molecule: long non-coding RNA, 1044 nt
Filed under: Homo sapiens (human)
Lineage: Eukaryota; Metazoa; Chordata; Mammalia; Primates; Hominidae
Description: HSALNT0165334
Source: RNAcentral